UGGGGAGGAAAGUCCUCUUUCUGCCAAGCUUCUUCACCUAUGCCAAGUACGAUGUGCAAGUGGAUGGUAAGAUAGGGCUGUUCCGAGGCCUGAGGUCCCGGCUGAUGUCCAACGCCCUCUUUACUGUGACCUGGGUAGUAUGAAGAAGGUUUUCCCUCCAGAUGAGAUCUAGCAGGUUUCCAACAAGGAUGAUAUGAAGACUUCCCUGAAGAAAGUGGUGAAGGAGACCUCCUAUGGGAUAAUGAUGCAGUGCAUGUCCCGCAUGUUGGCCUACCCGCUGUGUGUCAUCUCAAUGCGCUGGAUGGUCCAGUUUGUGGGAUGGGAAGCCAAGUACAGUGGUGUGCUGAGCUCCAUUGGGAAACUUUUCAAAGAGGAAGGGCUGCUGGGAUUUGUUGGAUUAAUCCCUCACCUCCUGGGUGAUGUGGUUUUCUUGUGGGGCUGUAACUUACUGGCCCACUUCAUCAGUGCCUACCUGGUGGAUGACAGUUUCCACCAGGCCCUGGCCGUCCGGAGCCACACUAAGGGCUUGAUGGGGAUUGCAGUGAGCAUGCUGACCUACCCCUUCCUGCUAGUUGACGACUUCCUGGCUGUGAACAACUGCGGCCUGCAGGCUGGGCUCCCCUGUUACUCCCCGGUGUUCAAAUCCUGGAUUCACUGCUGGAAAUACCUCAGUAUGCAGGGCCAGCUCUUCCGAGGCUCCAGCCUGCUUUUCCGCUGGGUGUCAUCAGGAUCAUGCUUCGUCCUGGAGUAACCUGAAUCAUCUAAAAAACACGGUCUCAACCUGGCCACCGUGAGUGAGGCCUGACCAUCUCGGGAUACCUGCAAGACGACUCCAACCCAAGAACAAUCAGAUGUGCUCCAGCCCAGCCGGGUUUCAAUUUCCAUAUUUGCCAUGUGUCUAUCCAGAUGUGGAGUUGGGUGGAGGUGAGGCUGCACCCAGUGGAUUGGGUCAUCUGCCAGACCUGGGAAAGGUAGGGGGAGG
This is an RNA transcript of Mandrillus leucophaeus (drill), 982 nucleotides long. It is a transcript of the gene named mitochondrial carrier homolog 1 pseudogene, with no coding region annotated. NCBI's taxonomy places the organism in Eukaryota, Metazoa, Chordata, Mammalia, Primates, Cercopithecidae. The transcript has a single exon. The record is from RefSeq and is a predicted model, not a curated record.